UGGGGAAUCUUGGACAAUGGGGGCAACCCUGAUCCAGCCAUGCCGCGUGAGUGAUGAAGGCCUUAGGGUCGUAAAGCUCUUUCGCCUGUGAAGAUAAUGACGGUAGCAGGUAAAGAAACCCCGGCUAACUCCGUGCCAGCAGCCGCGGUAAUACGGAGGGGGUUAGCGUUGUUCGGAAUUACUGGGCGUAAAGCGCACGUAGGCGGACCAGAAAGUUGGGGGUGAAAUCCCGGGGGCUCAACCCCGGAACUGCCUCCAAAACUAUUGGUCUAGAGUUCGAGAGAGGUGAGUGGAAUUCCAAGUGUAGAGGUGAAAUUCGUAGAUAUUUGGAGGAACACCAGUGGCGAAGGCGGCUCACUGGCUCGAUACUGACGCUGAGGUGCGAAAGUGUGGGGAGCAAACAGGAUUAGAUACCCUGGUAGUCCACACCGUAAAACGAUGAAUGCCAGUCGUCGGGUAGCAUGCUAUUCGGUGACACACCUAACGGAUUAAGCAUUCCGCCUGGGGAGUACGGUCGCAA
Molecule: ribosomal RNA, 520 nt
Filed under: uncultured bacterium
Lineage: Bacteria
Description: bacterial SSU rRNA
Rfam family: Bacterial small subunit ribosomal RNA
Source: RNAcentral